RNAcentral lists this ribosomal RNA (130 nucleotides) under Pteropus vampyrus (large flying fox). Lineage: Eukaryota; Metazoa; Chordata; Mammalia; Chiroptera; Pteropodidae. The record is from RNAcentral.
AAUUCUGGCUUCUGCCACAUGGAUUCAGGCAAGGAGCAGCCAAAGGAGGAAUCUAACAGAAGCUAAGCAGGGUUGGGCCUGGUUAGCACUUGGAUGGGAGACCACCUAGGAAGACCAGGUGUUAUAGGUG